This 264-nucleotide signal recognition particle RNA is filed under the name Chloroflexota bacterium. RNAcentral's name for it is "Chloroflexi bacterium (sediment metagenome) signal recognition particle sRNA large type". It matches the Rfam family "Bacterial large signal recognition particle RNA". From Rfam's summary of the family: The signal recognition particle (SRP) is a universally conserved ribonucleoprotein involved in the co-translational targeting of proteins to membranes. Lineage: Bacteria; Bacillati; Chloroflexota. The record is from RNAcentral.
CCGUGCUAGACGGGGAGCUAGCGGUGCCCUGAACCCGCAAUCCGCUCAAGCGGGGUCGAAUUCCUGCCCGAGGGCUGCGUGUUCGGGCCGCGCUCCCGCCACGCGGCGCUGACGCCCUGGUCCUGCGCGGCGAGGCGCCACGAACCUGGUCAGGUCCGGAAGGAAGCAGCCAUAAGUGGUCUGCCUCGGGUGCCGCAGGGAAGCCGGGGCCGAGCUAGCGAGCGCGGGGCAAGCCCGGGCGCGGGUUCGACGGCAGGUGCACGG